Molecule: long non-coding RNA, 789 nt
Filed under: Serinus canaria (Common canary)
Lineage: Eukaryota; Metazoa; Chordata; Aves; Passeriformes; Fringillidae
Description: lncRNA (ENSSCAG00000011325.1)
Source: RNAcentral
GUCCAGCUGUGUCAGAGGACAAGAUCACCAUUCUCAAAUAGUCUUUGCUGCUCUGAAGGAGGGCAGUUUGUGAGAGUCCUGCCUAAUAGGCUUCUGACAGGGCCAGCUGGUUAUUCUUCCUGCAGCAAGUGAUAGUGAUAUCUCAGUAGAAGUUUAGACACAUAGAACAUGUUCCAGGUGAUUACUGGGAUAAAUCUCUACAUAUUCUCUGCACAGAUUUGAUGCUUAGACUAGUAAGACUGCCAGACUCCCAGGGAAAAGGUCUAUGUCCUCCACAUGCACUAAAGGAAUUAGGAGUCUUGUGUUGUUCUGGUAGUGAUGGAAGGAAAAAAAAAAGUGCUCAACCUUGCCCUUUCCCCUUUUUAGUCUGAAUCAACACAAGAAAAAAGUAAGUUAUUUGUUAUAUUCUCUUCCUUCUGUUUGGCUGUUUUCCUUAGCUCAGAAGAAGGAUGUUUUGAACAGUUAGUGAUCAUUGAUUAUACCACAGUUUCAAAAAUGAAUGCCAUACCUACUACAAUGUCCUUUCCAGAUUUUACUUGUCUCUAAAUAUGGGGAAAGGAGGAUGUUGAAGGAGGAGUCUGCUCCUCUCCCUGCUCUGCUUUUUCUGUCAGUGCAUUAAUGUCUCAUGCUGGGACUCCCACCCAUACACAGGGCUGAUUUUACACUGAUCUUUAUGGCCUACAAAUUAUUGUGGUUUGGAUACAAAUCUUCUAUGCAGAAGGGCUUUCAGUAGGACAUGUGUGAGACUGAGCAUGCACUGCUGUUCCUCACUGCCCUAUCAGUCACAGU